GACGAACGCUGGCGGCGUGCUUAACACAUGCAAGUCGAACGGUGAAGCGCCUUCCUUUUUGGUGGGUGUGGAUGAGUGGCGAACGGGUGAGUAACACGUGAGUAACCUGCCCCCUUCUUCUGGAUAACCGCAUGAAAGUGUGGCUAAUACGGGAUAUUCUGGGUCUGUCGCAUGAUGGGUCUGGGAAAGAUAUUGUUUCGGUGGGGGAUGGGCUCGCGGCCUAUCAGCUUGUUGGUGUGGUGAUGGCCUACCAAGGCGGUGACGGGUAGCCGGCCUGAGAGGGUGGACGGUCACACUGGGACUGAGACACGGCCCAGACUCCUACGGGAGGCAGCAGUGGGGAAUAUUGCACAAUGGGCGCAAGCCUGAUGCAGCGACGCCGCGUGAGGGAUGGAGGCCUUCGGGUUGUGAACCUCUUUCGCCAGUGAAGCAGGCCUGCCUCGUUUGUGGGUGGGUUGACGGUAGCUGGAUAAGAAGCGCCGGCUAACUGCGUG
Molecule: ribosomal RNA, 494 nt
Filed under: uncultured bacterium
Lineage: Bacteria
Description: partial 16S ribosomal RNA
Rfam family: Bacterial small subunit ribosomal RNA
Source: RNAcentral